CUAUUAAUCUAAUUAAUAAAACUUUCUAAUUUUUGGUAUACUUAUUUAAAAGUAAAGCUGCUUUCGAUUGAUAUUAAUUAUUUGAAAAAGUUAAUUAAUUUGUUAAAAAUAUAAACAAUUUAAUUAAACAAAUAAAAAUAAUUUUAACUUCCCAAUCGAUUUUUCAGUUCUUUUUUGUUGCAUAUUACUCGUAAUUUAAUCUAGAAUCAUUUGCAAAAAGAAAAACUUGGUAACUUAUACUCGGUUAAUAGUAAUUAAAGAUUUUAUUCGAGCUUGCAGCAAAAUAUCUUGCGUGAACGACCGCCGCGGAGCCGUUUGAAAUGUUUAAAUAAACGAAGAUCGCAACUUGACAUAACCCUUUUUUAUCAUUGUCAUACAUUGUGUCGAAAAGUAUGGAUAAUUUUGCUGCACGCUCGAAUAAAAUCUUUAAUUACUAUUAAUCGAAUAUAAGUUACCAAGUUUUUCUUUUAGCAAAUGAUUCUAGAUUAAAUUACGAUUAAUAUGCAACAAAAAAGAACUGAAAAUCGAUUGGGAAGUUAAAAUUAUUUUUAUUUGUUUAAUUAAAUUGUUUAUAUUUUUAACAAAUUAAUUAACUUUUUCAAAUAAUUAAUAUCAAUCGAAAGCAGCUUUACUUUUAAAUAAGUAUAUCAAAAAUUAGAAAGUUUUAUUAAUUAGAUUAAUAGGAAAACAACUUUUUGUAUAUUUAAGCAAAAAAUGUUUGUAACAAUAACUUGUAUAAAUAUAAAAAUUUCGCAAAACUGUUCAAGUAGUAUUUUUUAUUUAUUAUUUUGAAUAGAAAAAUGUGAAUUUAAUAAAAUAAUUUCGACCUCUUAGAAAAUGUUGGCACACUUUACAAAUUUUGACUCCACUGACGUAUAAUUUUUGAAGACCUUCUACUUGAAUGCGCUGAUAAACAUUUUGACACAAAUAAAAAAACAUCAUUUUACUUUAUCAUCCCAUACGGAAAAUUCCUUUAAGGUUUCCUUACAGGUGUCUCCUAUGAACGUUGAAACAGGCAUCCUUUCAGGUUACCUACCAGGAUCCAUUGGUAGAUCCUACAUAAGGCACUGUAAGGAAUCCUUAAAGGAAUUUUCAGUAGGGUAAUCGACAUGAAAUUUCUGAGUAACAUUUAUAGUGGCUUUAUAAUUUGCAAAUUUCUAACAAUAAGUUUUUUGCUUUCCCGUCAAAUUAUAUUGUAUACUUUCAGAUAUGAAGAUUGCUGUUUAUUCUCCAAAAGAGGAUGAGCAAUCCCACAGUCUGCGGCUUAAAAUAGAUGCCAACUUGAGUUACAGCACCGAGUAUAGAAAAUAACUGGGGCAAUAGAGAAAGAACGGCUUUAAUUCCAUCCACAAAUCAAACAUUACAUGUAAACAGCUGUAUCAAAUUCUUUGAAGAAGAAAAAAUCAGAAUAUACCCGCAGACGUAAUCUUCGUUUUCAUCGUAAUAAUAAGUUAUGUACAGAAAAAAUUUACUUCCACCGAGAGUUUGUCUGUCUUGUUCAGAAAUUUCUUUUAAGUCUGACAUAUGAACAGGGUUACUCGGCAUUUGUCGUAGACGAUCACCAGAAAGUUGUUUCCGAAGAUUUGUCCGUUCAAGAAUCUUUGCCAGAAUUUUGAAAUUAUAAUAUUAUAUAAUUUCUUCAUAAAUCUUCAAAUUGAACUAAUUUAAAAUUGAAAAUAAAUUGAAUUUAAAUUGAAAAUUCAAUUUCCGGUUCAAUUAUUCUUAUUGAAAUUUUAAUUUUAUAGUUUUACUUAUUUAUUUCUUUUAUUAUUUUAAUGCCAUUACCCAAUCAGCACGAAAACUUGCAGCAAACUUGAAAGAAGCUUCACGUGCAAGAUGUGCAAGUUUGGUGCAAGUAACAAAAUGUCCUCUGUGGCAAGGUAUUUAAGCAAAUUUGCAUCAUACUUGCAAAAAGCUUGCAGUAAGCUUGUAUAAUAAUAAAAAAAAUUUUCGAAACAAUAUAUUAAUAAAUAAACAUAAAGGGCACCCUGCUUUAGAGGUUAAAAAAUUUAUUGCGCAGCCGUAGGAGCAUCCGUUUACAACUGCGCAUCGUAUUAAGUUUUGCAAACUUGCAGCAAGCUUGCGCCAACGUUGCCCUACAAGCUUGCCACAAGAGAACAUUUUGUUGCUUGCACCAAACUUGCUACAUGUUUGCACUGCAAUUUUGCACAUCUUGCACGGCAAGCUUCUUGCUAGUUUUUUGCAAGUUUUCGUGCUGAUUGGGUACUGAAAUCUACCUUAUGGAACGCAUCUAAGCUCUCAUUUUGGAGUAUGGAAAUGGGGCGAUUCCUUAGGCCGCUUGAAAAGAAAUCAAUUUUCUAAAUCGUAAGAUGUUGUUACUUGAGCGUGACAUUCUUUUUUAUUUUUAUAAUUCCAAUAUAUUCGACCCAAUUUUAUAUUUGACGAAUGUUUGGGGAUAGUUUUAUCUUGAUUAAACGUUUAUUUUUAAAUAUGUUAAAUCAGAAUCAGUUUUUAUUGAAUAUUUUUGAUCUAAUGAAGACUUAAAUGUAAGUGGUUUGUUUUGCACUUAAAAUCCCUUUCACCGUAGAACGUCACAUAUGAUUUUUAUAACUUUUAAUCACAAUUGCAUAUUUGUUAACUUAAUCCUUUCACAAAAAUCUUUUGUUAUAAAUUAAAAAUAAUUUUUCUGUUCUUUAGUUGCUGUUAAUUUGUUAAUAACUUUUUUUAUUUUUAGAUUAAACAAUUUCUGUCUCGAUAUUUUAUAAAAAAUAUAGAUAAAAGUGAUAUUUACAAAAAUUUAGAAGUAAAUGUAAAGAGCGCAAAAGUAGCAAGCAAAAUUUGUUAAAGGCAAAAACCAAACUCAAUUCUUCUUCCAGAAUAAAUAAAUAAUACAUAUUAAUUGUAAAAAUAACAUAUCAGUAAUGUAAUGUUAAAAUUUUAAUGGCGUACAUACUUUUGAAACUAUAAAUUAAAAAUGAACAUCUACUGUUUACAUUUAUUCCAAAUGACUCCAUAAUUAAUGAUUUUUAAAGUCGGACGCUAUAGGUAAUGUUAGUAAAUGUUGGUAGUGUAAAUUUAUUGUAUACAUUUAAUAUGUCCUUUUAAUAAAACUAUUUUUAUAACAAUAAUAAGCUGAGUAGUGAUUUAUAAGUAAAUUUGUUUGUCUAUUUUUAUUUUGAAUAAAAGUUUUGCUAGAUAAACUUAAAAAUGGAAUCUUACUCACUCCUAUCAUAAUACAUAAAUUUGCGUUUCAGCAGCAUCCAGAUUUCGAGCCUUGGAUUCCAGAUGUUUCAACAGAACGGCCUUGAUCAA
Molecule: long non-coding RNA, 3273 nt
Organism: Leptopilina boulardi
Lineage: Eukaryota; Metazoa; Arthropoda; Insecta; Hymenoptera; Figitidae
Exons: 2
Source: RefSeq, a predicted model, not a curated record